This 424-nucleotide long non-coding RNA is filed under the name Androctonus crassicauda. The record is from RNAcentral. Lineage: Eukaryota; Metazoa; Arthropoda; Arachnida; Scorpiones; Buthidae.
AUUCAUCUUAUCAUAGACAGUUUCAUCGAAAAAUUGAUUUUUUUAGUUGUUUUUUUUUUUUAUUUUAUUUUAUCUUGACCAAAGUACAGCAACUUCUCAUUGAACAUCCCGAAUUGGACAGAUGAUAGGCAGAUUUUCAUUCUGGACAUAUGAGAAAGAAAAUGUCUGCAUGUCUUUGGGGAUUAGGUUCAGAAAGAAGUUCUAGUCCCACAAUCGUGACAAUACCACCAAAAUCGGUAAACCGGAGACAGAUAUCAUCAUCAUCAUCAUCAUCCUUUGAAUUGAUCACUGUCAAAGAAUGUUUUCGCAGAAUGAUGCUUUUCAUUAUGAUUGAUGAUCUGGCAUUUUUAACGAUUUUUCUAAAUGCUUUACGUAAAUAUUAAAAGGUGAAUGCGUAAUCCUUUAUUUUAAAAGUACAGAUGUG